Molecule: ribosomal RNA, 930 nt
Filed under: Triticum aestivum (bread wheat)
Lineage: Eukaryota; Viridiplantae; Streptophyta; Magnoliopsida; Poales; Poaceae
Description: partial small subunit ribosomal RNA
Source: RNAcentral
AUGGCGAGCGGAGCCGUCGCGCCGCCGCCGCCGCUGGCCGGCGGGCGGCGCGGCUUCGGUGGCCGGGGAGUCCUCCUCCGCCGGCGCCUCGCCGCCACGCCGAUGAAAGAUGAACCCGUGGUCUCUACAAACGGUGGAAAAGAGGAAAUGAUUGCCCAUAGUGUUAAUGUUGCCAGAAAAGCAUCCAUUCCUGGAGUUUCAUCAAGUUUAUCCAAUAGGACAACAGUGACGACGCCAACACCUUUGCAUCCAGCAGAACCAUCUGAUCUCCGUUUCAAUCGUCUUCGACCCCCUAUUGAGAAAAGUGAUUGCAAAUACACAAGAUAUUUUGGUCGCUAUGUUGCUCGGGAGGCUAUAAUGGAUGAGGAAUACUGGAUUGCCGCAUGGUUGAGAGCAGAAGAUCAUUAUGAAGAUCAGUCAGGCGAUCGCUAUGUUGAAAGCUUCAAAAGAAAGUUUGCAUCACAGGAAUUUCAUGCUUUAAAGAAACGAUGUAGCAGGCAGGUUGGAGAGAAGUAUACCUGUUUUGUUGCGGUAAAGAAUGAUGACGUUACACGAACUGUGCUGAAUAGUGUUGUUGGUACGGUAGAUCUAUGUGUCAGGCAUCCUCUAUAUGGGGAGACAUAUCCCGCGGAGCCUGGAAACACGCCAUUUUACUCUAGAAUCUAUCAGCCAGAUCAGCCAAAAUUUGGAUAUUUAACCAAUGUUUGUGUUGCUAAGUAUGCACGGCGUCAAGGGAUUGCCAGCAACAUGUUGUUAUUGGCCAUUGAUGCUGCAAGACUCGAUGGUGCUGAAAGUAUUUAUAUUCAUGUACAUAAGGAUAACUUGCCAGCUCGGAGGCUCUAUGAUCAUGUAGGAUUCAAGAUGGUUGACAUGGAUGGUGCUCGCCAGUCAUCAGAUCUGUGCUUACUCUCCUUCAGUUCCACCCACUAG